AGGUGUAUGGUUGAUCUAGUUGUGACAUCUGCCACGUCAUUGUUUUCCAGGGUUGAUUUGGCUGAUCUGGCUGUCUAGGGGUGUGGCCCCUUCCUUCCUUCCUCCUACCACUGUGUGUGAGCUCCUCCUGAAGUUGUGUGUUGGGUGGGGUGCAAGAGGGUGCCUCUUGAUGGAGGAAGGCUGGUUUUUGGAGGAGGAUAUAGGAGCCGUUGUGUUUCCCCGAUAGACCCUCCAAGCUUUCACAAAACCUAGAACACUUACUCUUUGGGCCCUUACACACCAAGUGUGCACAUGUCUGCUAAAGAAU
This 307-nucleotide small nuclear RNA is filed under the name Neotoma lepida (desert woodrat). Its description in RNAcentral is "7SK RNA". It matches the Rfam family "7SK RNA". From Rfam's summary of the family: 7SK was discovered as an abundant small nuclear RNA in the mid-70s but a possible function has only recently been suggested. Two independent studies have found that 7SK RNA binds the CDK9/cyclin T complex (known as elongation factor P-TEFb). Lineage: Eukaryota; Metazoa; Chordata; Mammalia; Rodentia; Cricetidae. The record is from Rfam by way of RNAcentral.